UGGAACCCGUAUUAUGCCGUGCAUUCGC
This 28-nucleotide small RNA is filed under the name Bombyx mori (domestic silkworm). Its description in RNAcentral is "ovarian small RNA-34432". The record is from RNAcentral. Lineage: Eukaryota; Metazoa; Arthropoda; Insecta; Lepidoptera; Bombycidae.